Vicia faba (fava bean) is the source of this 195-nucleotide non-coding RNA. Lineage: Eukaryota; Viridiplantae; Streptophyta; Magnoliopsida; Fabales; Fabaceae. The record is from the annotation of a GenBank genome assembly.
AUGAAACCAUUUACUAAAAUGACACAAUCCUUAACAUAUCUUAUACCAUUUACUAAAAAAAUCAAAAUUUGUCUGAGAUAUUACCUCAGUUUUGGAAAAGCUACAAACUUUAUCUUAAGGAGGCAAGUUAAAGUUGGUAUCACCUUGAAAACAAACCAGCUAUAUAUUGAUCCAGAAAAUCAAUUAUUUGAAUGA